CCUGCCUCGAAGACUGUUAUACACCAUCGGAGAUGAGUGGCUAAUACCCGAUACAUUCGGCAAUUCAGUUUGUCGAGUAAAGCUCCGGCGCUUCGAGAUGGACCUGCGGCCUAUCAGCUACUUGGUAGGGUACUGGCCUACCUUGGCGAAGACAGGGUAAGGGGCUGUGAGAGCGUGGUGCCCCACAGUGGCACUGAGAUACAGGCCAGACUCCUGUGGGACGGCAGUAGUCGGGGAUAUUGCACAAGUCAGCGACAGCUGGAUGCAGCGACGCCUGCGUGGGCUGAUGAUUGCCUUCGGGUUGUAAAGCCCUUUUAUGGCGGAAGAGAACAAGGACAGUACCCCAAUAAUACGUCUCGGUUAACUACGUGCCAGGAGCCGCGGUAUCUCGUAGGGGACCGGCGUUUUCCGGAUCUACUGGGUGUACUCAGCGUUGAGGCGGUUCCGUCAGUUGGGCGUUAGAGCCCCGGGCUCACCUCGGGGAGGUCGUACAUUACUGCGGAACUUGAGGGCA
This 514-nucleotide ribosomal RNA is filed under the name uncultured organism. Its description in RNAcentral is "bacterial SSU rRNA". It matches the Rfam family "Bacterial small subunit ribosomal RNA", at positions 125 to 650 of the family's 1533-position model. The record is from RNAcentral.